RNAcentral lists this ribosomal RNA (329 nucleotides) under uncultured bacterium. RNAcentral describes it as "bacterial SSU rRNA". It matches the Rfam family "Bacterial small subunit ribosomal RNA", at positions 28 to 334 of the family's 1533-position model. The record is from RNAcentral.
GAUGAACGCUGGCGGCGUGCUUAACACAUGCAAGUCGAACGGAGUGCCCAUGACGGAGUUUUCGGACAACUGAUUGGGUUACUUAGUGGCGGACGGGUGAGUAACGCGUAGGUAACCUGCCUCAUAGCGGGGGAUAACUAUUGGAAACGAUAGCUAAUACCGCAUAACAGUAUUUACCGCAUGGUAGAUGCUUGAAAGGAGCAAUUGCUUCACUAUGAGAUGGACCUGCGUUGUAUUAGCUAGUUGGUGAGGUAACGGCCCACCAAGGCGACGAUCAGUAGCCGGUCUGAGAGGAUGAACGGCCACAUUGGGACUGAGAUACGGCCCAG